UAGCGGAGGAAAAGAAACCAACAGGGAUUGCCCCAGUAAUGGCGAAUGAAGCGGCAAGAGCCCAAAUUUGAAAUCGGGCAACCGAGUUGUAAUUUGGAGACGGGACACUAGAGAGGAGGAAGGCGAUUAAGUGCCUUGGAACAGGCUGCCGUAGAGGGUGAGAGCCCCGUGAAUCGCUGGAGACCGAUCAAUUAGUGCCCGCCGAAGAGUCGAGUUGUUUGGGAAUGCAGCUCUAAGUGGGUGGUAUAUUCCAUCUAAGGCUAAAUAUUAGCGAGAGACCGAUAGCAAACAAGUACAGUGAUGGAAAGAUGAAAAGAACUUUGGAAAGAGAGUGAAAUAGUACGUGAAAUUGUUGAAAGGGAAGGGUAUUUGAUCCGACAUGGUGUUUAGCAGCGGCCCGUUCCUCGUGGAUGGGUGCACCUGGUUUACACUGGGCCAGCAUCGGUUCUGGGAGCCAUAUACGGGGUUCGUGAAUGUGGCCCUUCGAUUCUGUCGGAGGGUGUUAUAGCGCGGACAUCUUGUGGCUAGCCGGGACCGGGGACUGC
Molecule: ribosomal RNA, 545 nt
Filed under: Brettanomyces bruxellensis
Lineage: Eukaryota; Fungi; Ascomycota; Pichiomycetes; Pichiales; Pichiaceae
Description: eukaryotic LSU rRNA
Rfam family: Eukaryotic large subunit ribosomal RNA
Source: RNAcentral